RNAcentral lists this ribosomal RNA (1028 nucleotides) under uncultured bacterium. Its description in RNAcentral is "bacterial SSU rRNA". It matches the Rfam family "Bacterial small subunit ribosomal RNA", at positions 28 to 1052 of the family's 1533-position model. The record is from RNAcentral.
AUUGAACGCUGGCGGCAUGCCUUACACAUGCAAGUCGAACGGUAACAGCACUUCGGUGGCUGACGAGUGGCGAACGGGUGAGUAAUACAUCGGAACGUGCCCGAGAGUGGGGGAUAACGCAGCGAAAGCUGUGCUAAUACCGCAUACGAUCUACGGAUGAAAGCAGGGGACCGCAAGGCCUUGCGCUCAUGGAGCGGCCGAUGGCAGAUUAGGUAGUUGGUGGGAUAAAAGCUUACCAAGCCGACGAUCUGUAGCUGGUCUGAGAGGACGACCAGCCACACUGGGACUGAGACACGGCCCAGACUCCUACGGGAGGCAGCAGUGGGGAAUUUUGGACAAUGGGCGAAAGCCUGAUCCAGCCAUGCCGCGUGCAGGAUGAAGGCCUUCGGGUUGUAAACUGCUUUUGUACGGAACGAAAAGGUCUUUUCUAAUAAAGAAGGCUCAUGACGGUACCGUAAGAAUAAGCACCGGCUAACUACGUGCCAGCAGCCGCGGUAAUACGUAGGGUGCAAGCGUUAAUCGGAAUUACUGGGCGUAAAGCGUGCGCAGGCGGUUAUAUAAGACAGAUGUGAAAUCCCCGGGCUCAACCUGGGAACUGCAUUAGUGACUGUAUAGCUAGAGUGCGGCAGAGGGGGAUGGAAUUCCGCGUGUAGCAGUGAAAUGCGUAGAUAUGCGGAGGAACACCGAUGGCGAAGGCAAUCCCCUGGGCCUGCACUGACGCUCAUGCACGAAAGCGUGGGGAGCAAACAGGAUUAGAUACCCUGGUAGUCCACGCCCUAAACGAUGUCAACUGGUUGUUGGGAAUUUACUUUCUCAGUAACGAAGCUAACGCGUGAAGUUGACCGCCUGGGGAGUACGGCCGCAAGGUUAAAACUCAAAGGAAUUGACGGGGACCCGCACAAGCGGUGGAUGAUGUGGUUUAAUUCGAUGCAACGCGAAAAACCUUACCCACCUUUGACAUGUAUGGAAGAUCGCAGAGACGCGAUUGUGCUCGAAAGAGAGCCAUAACACAGGUGCUGCAUGGCUGU